Molecule: ribosomal RNA, 313 nt
Filed under: uncultured eukaryote
Lineage: Eukaryota
Description: partial 18S ribosomal RNA
Rfam family: Eukaryotic small subunit ribosomal RNA
Source: RNAcentral
CCCUUAGAUGUUCUGGGCUGCACGCGCGCUACACUGAUGCGUUCAACGAGUUUAUGACCUUGCCCGAUAGGCCUGGGUAAUCUUUGAACACCGGUCGUGAUGGGGAUAGAUCCUUGCAAUUUUUGAUCUUCAACGAGGAAUUCCUAGUAAAUGCGAGUCAUCAUCUCGCGUUGAUUACGUCCCUGCCCUUUGUACACACCGCCCGUCGCACCUACCGAUUGAAUGGUCCGGUGAAGCCUCCGGAUUGCGCGGCUUCGGCUGUCGCGAGAAGUUGGCUAAACCUUACCAUUUAGAGGAAGGUGAAGUCGUAACA